CGAGACGGCACCGUAAAACGAAAACCCUCGUCUCCGAGCUGUGUCUAUAAGAGGGAAAAAGAGUUUCGCCUUUCAUCCAAGCUUCGGUGGAGAGGAUCGCGGGGAAUGGCUACGAAUCUCGCUCGCCUGGUCCGCCGACCCGCGGCCACAUUAUUUCUCUUGAGAAGUUACAGGCAUGUCAGACACUUUAGCCAUCAUAUAUUUCCAGGUGAUCUUGUUUAUUUAUUAUCUUAAGCAUAUUUUGUUGAUAAUGUUAAAAACUGAGAAUCUUACAUCAUGUUUCAUUUCAGGUGGUGUGGUCUGCUCGAAACCUAGAAGGGAUCUUAUCGAGUUCCUCCCAAAAGCCUCUCCUUACCAAAUAUGGAGUAGGUCAUUGGCUGCUGACAGUGGCGACCUAGUCGAUGCUGUUGUUCCUUUCAUGGGUGAAUCUAUAACUGAUGGAACUUUAGCAACCUUCUUAAAGAAGCCUGGUGACAGGGUUGAAGUUGAUGAGCCAAUCGCGCAAGUUGAGACUGAUAAGGUGACCAUUGAUGUUGCUAGUCCUGAAGCUGGGAUAAUCCAAAAGUUUGUAGCCGAGGAAGGUGCUACUGUGACACCAGGAACCAAGGUUGCUGUUAUAUCAAAAUCUGCUUCCAGUGACACACAUGUUGCUCCAUCAGAGGAGAAAGCAGGUAAAGAUGCCCCACAGCCAUCUCCUCCUGCAAAAGAGAAGAAGAUGGAGAAAGAAACGCUAAAAGCAGAAGCUCCAAUCAAAGAAAAGCCAAAAGCAUCUUCUCCUUCAUACCCUAAAACUUCAGCUUCAGAACCUCAGCUUCCUCCCAAGGAAAGGGAAAGAAGAGUUCCCAUGCCGAGACUAAGGAAAAGAGUUGCCGUGCGUUUGAAGGAUUCUCAGAACACAUUUGCUAUGCUAACUACAUUCAAUGAAGUUGAUAUGACAAAUCUAAUGAAGCUUCGCUCAGACUAUAAAGAUGCCUUUCUCGAAAAGCAUGGUGUGAAGUUGGGGCUGAUGUCAGGCUUCGUUAAAGCUGCUGUUUCUGGGCUUCAAAACCAGCCAAUCAUUAAUGCAGUAAUUGAUGGGGAUGAUAUCAUAUACAGGGACUACAUUGAUAUCAGUAUUGCUGUUGGCACACCUAAGGGCCUUGUGGUUCCAGUUGUCCGGAAUGCUGAUGAGAUGAAUUUUGCGGGAAUAGAGAAAGAGAUUAAUAACCUUGCAAAGAAGGCAAAUAAUGGGACAAUAUCAAUUGAUGAGAUGGCUGGAGGUACAUUUACAAUAUCUAAUGGUGGUGUCUACGGAAGCCUUCUGAGCACGCCCAUCAUCAACCCCCCACAAUCUGCCAUCUUAGGUAUGCACUCUAUUGUGUCUCGUCCAAUGGUGGUUGACGGCAACAUUGUUCCAAGGCCAAUCAUGUACAUUGCGCUGACUUACGAUCAUAGAUUGAUUGAUGGAAGAGAGGCUGUUCUAUUCCUGCGGCGUAUUAAAGAUGUGGUUGAAGACCCUCGCAGGCUUCUCCUUGACUUGUAGGCACAUCCUACUGGCAAUGACUGUUGGACCCUUUUCCAUACCUGUUACCAAAUAAUUUCCUUCUGAAACUACAAUUUUGUGUUUCAUUUGGCUUACAUUACGGGAGUUGUUCUGCAAUCAUGUUGUAUUUUAGCAACUACUUUGAGCUGUAUGACUGGAGAUACAAGGGAAGGAUGCGAAGAACAUGCUCCCCUUCGUUCCACUCCAGUUUGGGUUACUUUGACCUCAUCUAUUUCACCUGAUGUUUUUAUUGGCAACACCUGCAAGUUAUUGCAUUGUAGAUCUUGAGUUGUCUGUGUGAGUAUUAACAGGUACCGCCUUUACCAAGCUGACAAGUAGAAGGCCAUUCAUUUAAGGUGUUUCAGGUACUCGAAUACUAGAAUGUCUUUGAAGUAGAGGAUGAACAAUGAUCACUUUUAAAAGAAUAGUAAACACCGAUAAGCCUGUGGGAUUUUUUUCUUCUUCUUUUUAGAAUAGGUGAGCCAUUGAAUAAAUUAUGUUAUAUGGGAUUGAAAAGCUUUGUUCAAUAUCCAAGCAUUGGUGGAAUAAAAUAUAAGACCUGUAACUGGGGAUCAAGAUUUGAGUUCAGUCGAACCCGUAUAAGCAUUCCUGAUUACAUGAUACACAGAAAAAAAAAAAGGAGAUAAAGUUUUUAUUCCCAGAUACACAUUUUGAACCCAUCGUGAUACUACCCUAUCAAAUAUUUCUGAGUCCCAAUACACCAAAGCUGAAUGAGAACAAAAAUUUACAAGGUUCAAGAAUUUUUGUGCCCUUGUUUAUGAGCAAUACCUUUGGAGGGAUUAUAUUCCUAGAGUUUAGACUAGCAGAAAAAUGCUCUCAUAAUCUGGUUGUUAACAUAUCGGCCUCAACAAAAUCCUGACUGCUGAGAAUCUGAUAAUGAGAAACUGGAACCAUUGUACCAUGCGUGUAGUAUGUCUGUAUCACGAGGAGUUGACAGAAUAUCUAUUUCUUUCAUAAUGAUUUCAUUAUCAUACUAUUUGGCUUAAGCUGCAGCAUUGGGUUGGUAUUCAUUCUUUCCCUGCCAAGACACUAGAUUUUUUGACAGAAUGGAGGGAGAGCUAGUUGGGAUGUUAUCAUUAUCAAUUAGUCAAUUACUUGGUGCAUUUGGCUUGAAAGAGAUGCCAGAGUAUUCAGAGAUUAGAGGAAAUCUCCCCAGAAGACCUGCAAAAACCAGAUACUUCUUGGUGAAGGAAGAAAAGAAUCUCUAAACUAGACACUGUUUUUAUGAUCCUUUAUAAUAUUGUAUCUGGUUAGCCUAGUGUAUCCUUGUUUAGAUAGUUAUCUAUUAAAUCUUAGUUAGGCUUAUUCUUGCUACUCUCUUUCCCUCAAAAUCCAGUUGGUAACAUAAUGCAUUCUUGUAUUAAAGGCCCAAAUGAAUCAUCUAUUCUUGUAUUGCAGUGCUGUGGUGACUCAGAAAGAUCGCUUCUGAAGUCAGAAAGCUGCUUUUCACCAUUGCCUUUGCUUCAUGAGAAAACAAUACACCACCUGAGUGACCAGUUUUGUUA
This is a non-coding RNA of Phoenix dactylifera (date palm), 3048 nucleotides long. Lineage: Eukaryota; Viridiplantae; Streptophyta; Magnoliopsida; Arecales; Arecaceae. The record is from RefSeq and is a predicted model, not a curated record.